AUGUGGCUAAACCUUCUGUCCAUACUUGUGGUCCUCAAAGGAGUCCAAUCUCAAGUCCAGUUGGUGGAGUCUGGAGGAGAUGUGAGAAGACCUGGAGAGUCCCUCCGUCUCUCCUGCCAAGCCUCUGGAUUCACCUUCAGCAGCUAUGACAUGCACUGGGUGAGACAGGCUCCAGGAAAAGGACUGGAAUGGAUUGCACGUAUCUAUUAUGAUUCCAGUAAAAAAUUCUACUCUGACAAAGUGAAGGGACGCUUCACCAUCUCCAGGGACAAUAACAAAAGCCAGCUGUAUCUGCAAAUGAACAGCCUCAAAACUGAAGACACAGGAGUCUAUUACUGUGCAAGACACACAGAUUAUGAAAAAAAAUGUGGAGACUUUGGAAAGAUGACAACUAUGAAGGUUAAAAGUCUGGAGGGUAAAACACAUGAAGAACGGGUGAGACAUUCUCCUGGGAAAGGACUGGAAUGGGUAGCCCGCAUAAGUACAGGCUCAUCUCCUUCCACUUACUACCCAGAUAAAGUCAAGGGCCGCUUCACCAUCUCCAGGGAUGAUUCCCGCAGCCAGUUGUAUCUGCAAAUGAACAAUCUCAAACUGGAGGACACAGCUGCCUAUUACUGCUCAACUUGCACAGUGAGAGGAAGUGAAUCUGAUGCUGAGCAAAAACCUUCUCAUCAGGGCAGCUCUGAAAAUUGA
Thamnophis elegans (Western terrestrial garter snake) is the source of this 693-nucleotide non-coding RNA. NCBI's taxonomy places the organism in Eukaryota, Metazoa, Chordata, Lepidosauria, Squamata, Natricidae. The record is from the annotation of a RefSeq genome assembly.